GAUGAACGCUGGCGGCGUGCUUAACACAUGCAAGUCGAGCGAAGCACUUUACUUGGAUUUCUUCGGAAUGACGAGUAUUGUGACUGAGCGGCGGACGGGUGAGUAACGCGUGGGUAACCUGCCUCAUACAGGGGGAUAACAGUUAGAAAUGACUGCUAAUACCGCAUAAGACCACAGUACCGCAUGGUGCAGAGGUAAAAACUCCGGUGGUAUGAGAUGGACCCGCGUCUGAUUAGCUGGUUGGUGGGGUAACGGCCUACCAAGGCGACGAUCAGUAGCCGGCCUGAGAGGGCGACCGGCCACAUUGGGACUGAGACACGGACCAAACUCCUACGGGAGGCAGCAGUGGGGAAUAUUGCACAAUGGGGGAAACCCUGAUGCAGCGACGCCGCGUGAAGGAAGAAGUAUUUCGGUAUGUAAACUUCUAUCAGCAGGGAAGAAAAUGACGGUACCUGACUAAGAAGCCCCGGCUAACUACGUGCCAGCAGCCGCCGUAA
RNAcentral lists this ribosomal RNA (497 nucleotides) under uncultured bacterium. Its description in RNAcentral is "partial 16S ribosomal RNA". It matches the Rfam family "Bacterial small subunit ribosomal RNA", at positions 28 to 523 of the family's 1533-position model. The record is from RNAcentral.